RNAcentral lists this ribosomal RNA (357 nucleotides) under Bothriomirella sp. UNSW ENT 00046071. RNAcentral's name for it is "partial 16S ribosomal RNA". The record is from RNAcentral. Lineage: Eukaryota; Metazoa; Arthropoda; Insecta; Hemiptera; Miridae.
AAGGUUGGAUGAGAUAUAUUCUUUCUUUAUUUUAUAAAAAAAAUUUAAUUUUUAAGUUAAAAAGCUUAAAUUUUUAUAUUAGACGAGAAGACCCUAUAGAACUUUAUUUAAAAUAUAUAAUUAUAUUUUGGGUUAUAAUAUAUUAUGUGUAUAUAUUUAAAUUAUGUUGGGGUGAUAGGAAAAAUUUAUUAACUUUUUUAUUUAGAACCAUUUAUUUAUGGAUAAAUGAUCUUGUUAUAUGGAUUAAUAGAAUAAGUUACCUUAGGGAUAACAGCGUUAUUAUUUUGGAGAGUUCAUAUCGAUGAAAUAGUUUGCGACCUCGAUGUUGGAUUAAAAUAAAUAAUAGGUGAAGUAGUU